UGGAGACGCUCCCCGCGGGCCUCGAGUCCUGCCUCCCGCACUGCGGUCCUGGGGAACCUGGAAAAGGCGCUUUCCCUCCUACGGAUGUCUUUCUUUUGUACACAGUUGGCGUUCUGUUUUGCUCGGAGCAUUUUUGGUAGCACCCCGAGGUUGGGUAACACCCAGGGCUUGGCCAACCCCAUCGUGCUCUUUUCUCCGCUUGUAACAUGUGUGACCACAAAGCCACCGCAGGCAUCACGUGGGUCGCUCAGCGGCUCGGACGCAGACACGCCUCUGGCUUCCCCUGGAGGGCGGGGCUUCGCCUUUACCCUUUCCUGCCGGUCACUGGCCGUCAGGACGAAAGGACUGGAGGAAAGAAGGAACUGCCCACUUCCUUUAAGAAGCUGUGAAGCAAAUGGCUCUUCCACCUUUAAAGUUUUCAGAAGGACUUUAUGCCCACUGUGGAUUGCCUGAAAAAUCCCAUGGACGGGGAAGCCUGGUGGGCUGCAGUCCGUGGGGUCGCUAAGAGUGGGACACGACUGAGAGACUUCACUUUCACUUUUCACUUUCAUUCAUUGGAGGAGGAAAUGGCAGCCCACUCCAGUGUUCUUGCCUGGAGAGUCCCAGGGACAGCGGGGCCUGGUGGGCUGCCGUCUAUGGGGUCGCACAGAGUCGGACACGACUGAAGCGACUUAACAGCAGCAGCAGCAGUGGAAAAACCAAAUACCACAAUACAGUUACAUCUCACGAUUUGUUAAUAUUUUGUUAAGUUUUUCCCUAAACAUCUGCUGCUAAGUCACUUCAGUCGUGUCCAAAACAUCUGCAGCCUUGGAAUAAUGUGAGUUUGGAUGGAGGGUGACGAGGAAUGGGCUGGUAUCCACUUUCCAGGCACCACCUUCGCGUUAGGACUCGGGGACCACAUGGACCCUACAGCUGACGCAGUUUGGAACUCUGGCCCCUACUCACAACAGGAAGGUUCAAAUGAGAUGAUAAAUUGUGGGAAGUUAGGAGGUUACUAAUCUGUCAUAAUACGGUUUAAAUGAGGCUCGAGUGGGAUUACCUGUCUUUCUGCAUCCUCACUAGCAGUAAAUUUUCUUGUUUUUAAAUCUGCCAAUUUAAUUGGUGAAAAUUCAAUUUCCUCGCUCUUUGAUAUUGCAUUUUGAAAAGUUGCCAGUGAAAGCGAAACAUUUUUUUCAUAUUCAUUAACCAUUUGUAUGGCCUCUUCCACAGUAAAACAUAAUUUAUCAAUCAAAUUUGCUAAUAAGGUCUGGGCUUUCUUUUUGUGUGUGGCAUUUCUCAUGUCAAAACUCAGAAACAAUCUCUUUCUACACACAGCUGGACAGGCUAAUAGUGAGACCGUUUGGGAUUUGAUUAGAGGUGUCUUUAACUUGAAACACACACUAGUAAACAUUUGGCAACUUCCCAG
This is a long non-coding RNA of Bos taurus (domestic cattle), 1405 nucleotides long. NCBI's taxonomy places the organism in Eukaryota, Metazoa, Chordata, Mammalia, Artiodactyla, Bovidae. The record is from Ensembl.